Molecule: ribosomal RNA, 31 nt
Filed under: Verticillium dahliae
Lineage: Eukaryota; Fungi; Ascomycota; Sordariomycetes; Glomerellales; Plectosphaerellaceae
Description: partial 18S ribosomal RNA
Source: RNAcentral
UCCGUAGGUGAACCUGCGGAGGGGAUCAUUA